Non-coding RNA from Camellia sinensis, 1546 nucleotides. NCBI's taxonomy places the organism in Eukaryota, Viridiplantae, Streptophyta, Magnoliopsida, Ericales, Theaceae. The record is from RefSeq and is a predicted model, not a curated record.
AUUAAGAACCUGAAAAAGUAGACAGCACAACAUGGUAUAUUAGUCCAAGCUAAAUUUAAAAGGGAAAGUAGAAGGUAUUUAAAAGAUAAACAAUGACAACAAUGCCUCUUUUAAUGCAGUGCUGAAAAUCUAUAGUUAUAAACUAAUGCUACAGGGCAAAGAUGAGAUCUUCAAAGCUUAUUUAACACCAUGGAUUUUUCGCUUUGCUUCCUUCUUCCAACCCCAAAAACUCCAAUGCUUUUGAAGCAACCUCACAAUGCAAAAGGAGAUGAUUAAUAGACUCAUCCACUUUUUUCAAAUGCAACACCAAUUGGGGAGCACCUUUGGCCCCCACUUAUCAGUAGUCAGUAUCACUUCCAAAGCUACAGUCAUGUUAAGACACCUCAGCUGCUAGAUGAUCUUGCAAGGGAAGACAAUGUGUGGCCUGGGGCAAGCAAAGAAGCUUAUAAUAUGACCUCACUGCAAAUUUUCUGGUCCUGUUGCCCCUCCAUGAUACAACAUCCACAUUGUCACCAAGGACACCAUUAGAUAAUGGGUUUCAUGGUGGUUCAAGUUAAAGAAAUCUUGUGGGUUUAUUUAAUUUUUUAUUUUUUAUUUUUUUGUGGAUAAGAGUAGGAGGAAUGCUGCAAGGUUAUACGAAUAUGGAUUAGAAUUUGCUUGCUUGCAGAUGUGUCAAAUUGCAGGACUUUCAAAAACCCAAAUCAAAGUUGUAUGACUUUUGGCAACAAGGAAACAGGUUCAAGUCAAAGUGUUGAAUCUUGAAAUUGUCAACUAGCAAGAUGAUUGGAGAGAGUUCAAAAAAAGCUGAGAAAAUAAUUAGAAAGGAGCGUGAAGCUAUAAUUGCUGCGAUAAUGGAUGAAAGAAGAAAUACAUCAUUCAGAAUUUUAGAUGAGUGUUCUACUUCUCCACAUGUUGAAUCACAUGAUAUGGAAGGAGUUGUAGACUCCACUCAAGUACCAAAGAAGAAAACUAGGGGGGCAUCAAAGUUAAAGAUGCAUGACAAAGGAAAACAAAAGUGCGAUGAAAUUGACUUCAAUGAAAGGAAUCAGCCUGUGUUGAGUCAGUUAAAUCAGCUUGAAAUUGAUUUCGUAACAUCAAUUGUGGUUGCAUAGCUGUGUAAUGAGUGUUCUUCACACGUCAUAUGUAAUAUAUUUAUGACUGCAUGUAUGCUUGUGUUUUUAUGUAUGUUUAUGUAGUAUAAAUUAGAUCUUGCAGAAAUGAAAUUAUAAACUGCAUUGUUGAUUUGCAAAGCUUCAGUUUCUCGUAGCUUCAGCUCCUCGGACAAAAGCUCUGCAAAGUUCUUUUCUGUGUCUUCACUCACUUCAGGAUCAUGCUUCGCACAAUCUGCAUGAAAAUAUGGCCAAACAUAACAAAGAAAUGACGAAAUUCUUAAAAGUCAAACACCUGUAUUACACUGCACUUUUGUUUCAUACACAGAUUCAUGAUAGUUAGGAGUCCUAGAUCUCGGAACAAGCAGGUUGGAAAAUUGGGCAGAGAUGUAACUGAAGAAAUUGAUAUGAUCUAGGAUUACUCACAUCAAAUUGUA